This 1521-nucleotide ribosomal RNA is filed under the name metagenome. RNAcentral describes it as "bacterial SSU rRNA". It matches the Rfam family "Bacterial small subunit ribosomal RNA". The record is from RNAcentral.
GAGUUUGAUCAUGGCUCAGAUUGAACGCUGGCGGCAGGCCUAACACAUGCAAGUCGAACGGUAACAGGAAACAGCUUGCUGUUUCGCUGACGAGUGGCGGACGGGUGAGUAAUGUCUGGGAAACUGCCUGAUGGAGGGGGAUAACUACUGGAAACGGUAGCUAAUACCGCAUAACGUCGCAAGACCAAAGAGGGGGACCUUCGGGCCUCUUGCCAUCAGAUGUGCCCAGAUGGGAUUAGCUAGUAGGUGGGGUAACGGCUCACCUAGGCGACGAUCCCUAGCUGGUCUGAGAGGAUGACCAGCCACACUGGAACUGAGACACGGUCCAGACUCCUACGGGAGGCAGCAGUGGGGAAUAUUGCACAAUGGGCGCAAGCCUGAUGCAGCCAUGCCGCGUGUAUGAAGAAGGCCUUCGGGUUGUAAAGUACUUUCAGCGGGGAGGAAGGGAGUAAAGUUAAUACCUUUGCUCAUUGACGUUACCCGCAGAAGAGGCACCGGCUAACUCCGUGCCAGCAGCCGCGGUAAUACGGAGGGUGCAAGCGUUAAUCGGAAUUACUGGGCGUAAAGCGCACGCAGGCGGUUUGUUAAGUCAGAUGUGAAAUCCCCGGGCUCAACCUGGGAACUGCAUCUGAUACUGGCAAGCUUGAGUCUCGUAGAGGGGGGUAGAAUUCCAGGUGUAGCGGUGAAAUGCGUAGAGAUCUGGAGGAAUACCGGUGGCGAAGGCGGCCCCCUGGACGAAGACUGACGCUCAGGUGCGAAAGCGUGGGGAGCAAACAGGAUUAGAUACCCUGGUAGUCCACGCCGUAAACGAUGUCGACUUGGAGGUUGUGCCCUUGAGGCGUGGCUUCCGGAGCUAACGCGUUAAGUCGACCGCCUGGGGAGUACGGCCGCAAGGUUAAAACUCAAAUGAAUUGACGGGGGCCCGCACAAGCGGUGGAGCAUGUGGUUUAAUUCGAUGCAACGCGAAGAACCUUACCUGGUCUUGACAUCCACGGAAGUUUUCAGAGAUGAGAAUGUGCCUUCGGGAACCGUGAGACAGGUGCUGCAUGGCUGUCGUCAGCUCGUGUUGUGAAAUGUUGGGUUAAGUCCCGCAACGAGCGCAACCCUUAUCCUUUGUUGCCAGCGGUCCGGCCGGGAACUCAAAGGAGACUGCCAGUGAUAAACUGGAGGAAGGUGGGGAUGACGUCAAGUCAUCAUGGCCCUUACGACCAGGGCUACACACGUGCUACAAUGGCGCAUACAAAGAGAAGCGACCUCGCGAGAGCAAGCGGACCUCAUAAAGUGCGUCGUAGUCCGGAUUGGAGUCUGCAACUCGACUCCAUGAAGUCGGAAUCGCUAGUAAUCGUGGAUCAGAAUGCCACGGUGAAUACGUUCCCGGGCCUUGUACACACCGCCCGUCACACCAUGGGAGUGGGUUGCAAAAGAAGUAGGUAGCUUAACCUUCGGGAGGGCGCUUACCACUUUGUGAUUCAUGACUGGGGUGAAGUCGGAACAAGGUAACCGUAGGGGAACCUGCGGUUG